This 219-nucleotide unclassified non-coding RNA is filed under the name uncultured Tomentella. RNAcentral describes it as "sequence contains ITS2". Lineage: Eukaryota; Fungi; Basidiomycota; Agaricomycetes; Thelephorales; Thelephoraceae. The record is from RNAcentral.
ACACCUCAACUCUUCAUGGUUUUCCAUGAUGAGCUUGGACCUUGGGGGUCCUGCUGGCCUACGGUCAGCUCCUCUAAAAUGAAUCAGCUUGCCAGUGUUUGGUGGCGUCACAGGUGUGAUAACUAUCUACGCUUGUGGCCCCCCACCAGGUAACCUCCAGUGAUGGAGGUUCGCUGGGGCUCAUAAAUGUCUCUCCUCGGUGAGGACAGCUUUUUGAAC